AAAGAGAAAGCCCACCCGCCUCGGCGGGAUCAAUGGGCGACCCUCCACCCUUUGUUGUUAUAACUACCUCGUUGCUUUGGCGGGACCGUCCGGUCCUCCGAGCGCGCCAGCCCUCCGGGGCAGGCGAGUGCCCGCCAGAGUCCAACCAAACUCUUGUUUUUAAACCAGUCGUCUGAGUAUAAAAUUUUAAUUAAAUUA
Molecule: unclassified non-coding RNA, 198 nt
Filed under: uncultured Kabatina
Lineage: Eukaryota; Fungi; Ascomycota
Description: sequence contains ITS1
Source: RNAcentral